GGUUAGCCAGCUGUAGGAGUCGAACCCACAUCUAUGUUGUUCCAGCCUCAGAACAUCAGUUCUUUCAUGUUCAACAGCUGCCGCCUGCGUCGAUCCCGUCGUAUCAAUGUGUGUAUGAGUGAGCAAAAAUGUAAGAGUGAAAGGAGGAUGAGUGAGAGAGAGUGGCUGGUUUGUCCCUUCAGAUGACGCACCCUGGAAGUCGCUGAGAAGGCGUGUUAGCUUAGCUCAAUUGGUAGAGCCCUGGACCGGCAAUCCAGAAGAUGUGGGUUAGACUCCUACAGCUGGCUAACCUUUUCAGUGACUUUCAUCUUUCAUCGUUAGAAAACGUGUUUUUGAGCCGAAGAAGUGCCUUUUUUUUCGCCAGAACUCCAAGAUCUUGACAGAAUAGAUCGGGAAAUAUGCAUCUCAGAGAUCGCAGAUGUUGCCAUUGAUUUGUCCGAGGGAAUAUCAUGGUCUAGAGCUGGAGCUGAAGCAGAGCUAUCCGAAAAAUGAGCAGGAGGGCUUUCAUGGGGGUUCUUAUUCUAUCUUUCAAGGUGGAAGGAGGGAAGGGUAAAUGGAACGCCACGGAAACACCGUUGUAUUGGGCGCUACCGAAGGACCUUUCAGUCUCCCAUAACAAAAUUAGCUUACCCAGGACCCAAUGAUCUUCAACACCAAUCACAAUGACUUUUUGUGUGUGUGUCUACCCCUGCAUGAAGUCCUUCAGAAAGUCACUUCUGAAUUUGAAGGUACGUAUUCACGAUAGCUUUUAGAAAACAUAAGGCAAUCGCGCAAGCUGUCAUCACACUGGUGUACUUGGAUCCAACAGUUUUCGUUAAGUGCGCCUGAUCUACUGAAGCUCGCUCUAUUCGUCUUGGGAGGCGCUCUGAGGUACCACUAUGGUAGACUAGUCCACCAUACUUGGGCGGUGAAGGACAAAAUACACAGUCUAGCCUGAUAGCAGUGGGAACACAAUAAGACCAGGGAAUGAAGCACUCUUCGAAUAAAAUUUCAAUAUUCACAAGCUUUCGUGCAGAACCUGCACUUCAAGUGAACACACAAAUCUGUAUUCAAAUUUGUGCCCAUCUUUACCUGAUGAAGUGCAGGUACUGCACUAAAGCUUGUGAACAUUAGAGUUUUAUUCCGAAGAGUGUUUCAUUCCCUGGACUCGAGUCCACCAUACAUUUUACACCACAUUUUACCUGUGCCACCUCUAAAAAAAAGGAGGGCUUGAUAUUUCAGCUGUAAUGACAUGUUGGUAAUCAUAUGCUACCACGUACCAAGCUUGGGGAUUCUGCAUAAACCACUGCAUUACUCUCUCAUGGUGCUAUGAUAUUUCAUUAGUUUACUUCCACAUAUAAAAAACUGGGAUCACCAUUUCCCAGAAC
This is a long non-coding RNA of Ornithodoros turicata, 1367 nucleotides long. RefSeq lists it as uncharacterized. Lineage: Eukaryota; Metazoa; Arthropoda; Arachnida; Ixodida; Argasidae. The record is from RefSeq and is a predicted model, not a curated record. The transcript is spliced from 3 exons.